RNAcentral lists this long non-coding RNA (1064 nucleotides) under Parus major (Great Tit). Its description in RNAcentral is "lncRNA (ENSPMJG00000010578.1)". The record is from RNAcentral. Lineage: Eukaryota; Metazoa; Chordata; Aves; Passeriformes; Paridae.
GUAAACACGUGCAUCCUUUUAUUAUGAUGUUUUUUUUCAAGGGUCUAAGUAACCCCAUGAUUUGUGACUGCAGCUCUGCGCACAGAGGUGACAGGGAGUGCAGUGGGAAGUGUCAGCUAGUGGGAGGAAGGCUCAGAAGUUCCAUUCCUUACCCUGCAGGGCACAUCCUGUAGGAAACAGCCACUUGAAGUACACUUACUCCUUUUCCCUUGACAGGGACGAGAUGAUGAUGACGAUGCCUGGGUGUGAAGUCUGCUCCAUGGCCUUCAGUGCGAGUCCUUGGCACACCUCUGGCUUCAGGCUCGGCCUUCCCCCCAUCCUGAAAGUUUCCAAGUGCCACCAAACUGAUGGGAGAGAAACAAUUGUUGUGUUUCCCGGGCUGACACCUCCUGCUGAGCAUCCUUCCCUGCAGGAACGGCAGUCCCCUCGCGUUACUCCGGGGACACGCCGCCGCGGUGCUGAUGGGACCAGACAGGAUCCGUCACUGCGCUGAUGUGUCUCCUCCACAAAAAAUCCUAAAUGACACCAGUGGCUGAGAGACGAGGAACAAAGGGAAAACAAAUAAAAUUAUCUGCUCUGUUUGGUCCCCUCUGGUCAUCUGUCAUCCCAAUCUGGCGUGGGGACUGCGGAGGAAGGCCGGGGUUUGAGGGUUCUGCUGGGGAUAUGAGAUGGGUUUGCUUUGUUCACGUGAGACCAACAAGCCUGGCAGGCCAGAGAGCUGCUUCUGCUGGACUCUUUGGAGUCUCUGUCUCUGUUUUAGCUUGUUUCUGGUGUCCAGACUCCCCUGACUGCUGCCAUAACCAGACCCUUCCAGUGGGGCGAAGAGAGGAUGGGGCAGAGCUCGGUGUCGCUGGUGCUUCACAAGCGUCGGAAGGACCUUGCCAAGGUUGUGUGAGUCUCUCUCCCUGCCUCAAGGAGGCUGUUUGAAAGCUGCUCUCAGAUCAGUGAGGACCAAGGUGGAUGGCUGUGCUCCUCUGCAAUGCGUGUGACAGAUGUGUCACCCCUGGGCUUACUCUCUCCAAAUGGUCCAUUUCUGUCUCAAAACUCGGUGGCCAAAAGCAGAG